RNAcentral lists this ribosomal RNA (169 nucleotides) under Candidatus Aenigmarchaeota archaeon ex4484_56. RNAcentral describes it as "partial 23S ribosomal RNA". It matches the Rfam family "Archaeal large subunit ribosomal RNA", at positions 20 to 211 of the family's 2987-position model. The record is from RNAcentral. Lineage: Archaea; Nanobdellati; Candidatus Aenigmatarchaeota.
GCUUGGUGGAUGGCUUGGCUUGAUAUCCGAAGAAGUACGUGGCAAGCUGCGAUAAGUCCUGGCGAGGUGCAUGCAGCCGCAGAACCAGGAAUUUAUGAAUUAUUCCUUUUUAGGAAUGGGAACGCGGGGAAUUGAAACAUCUUAGUACCCGCAGGAAAAGAAAUCAAUA